AUCCACAGCCAUAUAACCUUGCAGCCCAAGACCAGUUACUCACUGAAGAGAAGCAGGGCUGAGCCUGGUCAGUACCUGGAUGGGAAACCACAUGGUAAAAGUAGGCUGCUGUUGGAA
This is a non-coding RNA of Danio rerio (zebrafish), 117 nucleotides long. The record is from Rfam. NCBI's taxonomy places the organism in Eukaryota, Metazoa, Chordata, Actinopteri, Cypriniformes, Danionidae.